Molecule: RNA transcript, 3962 nt
Organism: Mustela erminea (ermine)
Lineage: Eukaryota; Metazoa; Chordata; Mammalia; Carnivora; Mustelidae
Gene: TASP1
Gene name: taspase 1
Exons: 14
Source: RefSeq, a predicted model, not a curated record
CUACGCGCAUACCCAAUGGGAAAGCUUGAUGUCAGUCCCGCUUCCUCACCCUGGCAACGGGCGGGUGACUACUUCCGGUGCUGUGAGGGCUCGGGGCUGACGCUGGGUAAUUCCUCUCCUGCAAUUACUUUUGGAUGGAAGUAUGUACUUUUCCCAAUAGAAGAUGGUAAUCUCAGAGAAUGACCAUGGAGAAGGGGAUGAGUUCUGGAGAAGGGGUGCCUUCCAGAUCAUCUCAGAUUUCGACUGUUAAAAUAACAGUCAAAGAGUUGGAAACAAAGCAGUCCCAUAAGGAGAAGCGAGGGGGCUUUGUGUUGGUACAUGCAGGUGCAGGUUAUCAUUCUGAAUCCAAAGCGAAGGAAUAUAAACAUGUAUGCAAACGAGCUUGUCAGAAGGCAAUUGAAAAGCUACAGGCUGGUGCUCUUGCGACAGAUGCAGUGACUGCGGCUCUGGUGGAACUUGAGGAUUCUCCUUUUACAAAUGCAGGAAUGGGAUCUAAUCUAAAUCUCUUGGGUGAAAUUGAGUGUGAUGCCAGCAUAAUGGAUGGAAAAUCCUUAAAUUUUGGAGCCGUUGGAGCACUGAGUGGAAUCAAGAAUCCAGUCUCAGUUGCAAACAGACUCUUGUGUGAAGGGCAGAAGGGCAAGCUCUCAGCUGGCAGAAUUCCUCCCUGCUUUUUAGUUGGAGAAGGAGCCUACAGAUGGGCAGUAGAUCACGGAAUACCCUCUUGCCCUCCUAACAUCAUGACCACAAGAUUCAGUUUAGCUGCAUUUAAAAGGAACAAGAGGAAACUAGAGCUGGCAGAAAGAGUGGAAACAGAUUUCAUUCAACUAAAGAAAAGAAGACAAUCAAGUGAAAAGGAGAAUGACUCAGGCACUUUGGACACAGUGGGCGCUGUAGUGGUGGACCAUGAAGGGAACGUUGCUGCUGCUGUCUCCAGUGGAGGCUUGGCCUUGAAACAUCCAGGGAGAGUUGGACAGGCUGCUCUUUAUGGAUGUGGCUGCUGGGCUGAAAAUACUGGAGCUCAUAAUCCCUACUCUACAGCUGUGAGUACCUCAGGAUGUGGGGAGCAUCUUGUGCGCACCAUACUGGCUAGAGAAUGUUCACAUGCUUUACAAGCUGAAGAUGCUCACCAAGCACUGUUGGAGACUAUGCAAAACAAGUUUAUCAGACAUCUGGAGGACCUGUGCCUGAGCUCCACUGUGUCUUCGAUGCACCUGACUCCUCUCCUCCUACUCUGCAAUCUAUAGGAGUUGGAUAGUUGUGACUUAGAGCAGAUGACCUGCAGAGUUUGAAAAUGUUUAGCAUUUGGCUGUCUACAGAAGAAAUUUGGCAAUCCUUGGCCUAGAUGAUUCAGAAAAGUCCUUCCAUCUUGAUGCUUCCAAAAACAUGCAUUUAUUCCUUUAUUCAGUAAGUAUUUGAACAUACACUAUAUUUCAAGCAUUAGAUCAGGCACAAGGGGUAUAGCAGUGAAUAAACGACAUCCAUGUCCUCAUGGAGCUUAUAUUUUGUCAAGUCAGGCAAACAGCAAAUAAAUAGGUAAACUUCUCAUCUGUUGUAUAGUCGUAAGAGCUACAGUGAAAAAUGAAGUUUUGAGCAUGGUCAGGGAAGAGCUCCUUAGAAGGUGACAUUUGAACAGAAAUUCAGAGUUGAGAGAUGGAAACAUGUGGUCCAUGAAGGAAAGAACAUCCCAGAACAGCAUGUGCUAAAGAGGUAGCAAUGUGUCUGUAGAGGUUGAAGAAUAGCAGGAAGGCCAGUGUGGCUGGAGCAGAUGGAACAAGGGGGAAGAUGGUUAGGGAGGAGCUCAAAGAGGUAGUAAGGACCAUUAUGCAGAAACUUACCCAUGGAAAUUUAUAAGAAGAAGAAUAUCAUGACCUGAUUUAUAUUUUAACAUGGUCAAUCUGGCUACAGUACUGACAACAGACAUGGAGGGCAGGAGUGGAACCUGGGGGACCAGUCAGAUGCUCUCAGAAUAUAUUAGGCAAGAGAUAGGCUUGGAGUAGAGUGAUGGUGGUGGAAGGGAAAGAAGUGGUUGGAUUCUCGUAAGUUUUUGAAGGGAGAGCUAGCAUAAUAGCUACUCAGUUGAUACAGAGUAAGAGAUAAGGAGAGACAAAGAUGACUUGACUUUUGGCCUGAACAACUGAAACAAUGAAGUUUCUUUUUGUUGACAGGGGGAUGCCUCCAUAAAGAGUAAGUUGUGGGGGAAGAUCAGGAGUUCCAGGCAGUGUUUAUUAAGUAUGCGGGUGGAAACGUUAAUAAGGCAAUUGUAUAUUCAAGUCUCUAGUUCAGGGAGAAGGCCUGGGCUAAAAUAAACCUGAGAAUUAAGAGUUUGCAGAUGACAUUUAAAGUGAUGGACAGAUGGAGAGGGACGCUGGAAUCACUUGAGUGAUGAGUGAGAAGGGAUGGACACGCACAGCUAUUGAUCUAGGAAAAACAUGAGCAGUUCAUUUGUGGUAAUAUUCAAAUCACAAAGAUGUGAUGAGGAUGUAUGGAGGUUUUCUCUCUCACCUCUGUUUUUCUUGGGGAAUUGGGAAGCAAGGUCAGCUCCAGUGUUAGGAUGGAGGAGGAGAUAUUGGAAAUUUGAGGAGAAAUGAGAAAUGUAUGAUUUCUGGGCAACAUUGAGGGCCCAAAUUGAGUUAGUGAUCAUGAGUGGUUAGCAUGGUAGUGCCAUUUUCCAGUCAAAUUCAGCUUAGGGGUGUAGGCAUGGAGUUGGAUUUAAUAAUGAUUGGAAUUUGCCAGGUGAGUAUGAUGGUCAAGAGUAGGAUAAAAUAGCUGAUAGUUUCUGCAGGGAAUUAAUUAUAAUGAUGGACUAUAGACUUCAGCCCACUUAAGGACCAAAAUGAGGAUUUGAGGUGGGCAAGGGAAAGAUUGAAGGAUUGUUGGAUUAUGGGUCCUAGAGAGUAUGCACUAGAAAGGGGGAGUGAGAUGCUUAGAAGUGAGGUCUAUAAAAGAGGUGGAAGUUGUUGGUAAUCACAAUAUGGUAUUUUAGAGUGAGUGGCUGACAUAAGUAAAGGACAGGAUUCUUGGGAGAGAAGAGGUCUAGGAAUUGAGAGGUCAGAGAUGGAAGCAUAAUCUCCAUACUUUGAAAUCACUAACGUUAUGGCAGGAUGGAUGUCAGAGAAAUGAUGAUCAAAGAGCAUAAAUCUUUGAGGAGUGAUGGGGAGCGACCUCCGGAGGCCAGUGGAUGAACUGUCAUAUGGACAAGUCUGGUGAUAGGAAACUCAAAUCUGGUUAAGAGUCUAUGGGCAGUCCUAAGGAGAAAGAAAGACACCACCUAACUACAGGCAUGAUGACAGGAAGGGAAUUCCAGAGAUGAACAAGGCCAUGAUGGACCCACAUGGGGAAAGAAGUUGGAGCAGUAGAUCAGGGAAAGGAUUUCACAGGAAACGACAGACCUCGCUGUGCCCAGGAUUCUGACAGCUGUCCUCAGGGUCCAACAGUGGAUCUUACAUAAUGAUGAAGGGACAUGUAAAUAACCUGAUUAAAAUGACAGGUCUAGGUGUGUGACUGCAUACCCAUAUUCUAGUGUGGUACAUGGGCCUCCUAAUGGAGAGCAGUGACCCAAAUGCUCUCCUUGGCAGAGCACCUGCUGUCAGUCCCCAGUGGAAUUUCUUCUUGUCCUACUUCUACUCUAAGCAGUGUCUGCUGAAGCAUGUACUCAUCAGUAUGGCAGUGAGGGGUGUGGUCCAUUUGCCACCUUGCUGGGCCUUGGCAAAGGAGACUGUCCAGGGGACAUGGGGAUAACUCUCACACUCACUCACUGCGGAACUCUUAUCUGGAUUACCGUAGAAACAUCCUCAGCGGUCUUCCUGCCUUUUCCUGUGACAACUACCCUCAACCCAGUCUAUUCUCCACAUAGCAGCCUGUUCAGUUCCUUCUCUAUUGCUUUGAUGACCCUCCACUAUAAUGAGGAUAAAAUGCAGACAUUACCUCAUGGCAUUUCUAAUUUGAUUCCUGCUUGUUCCCUU